Molecule: ribosomal RNA, 292 nt
Filed under: uncultured bacterium
Lineage: Bacteria
Description: partial 16S ribosomal RNA
Rfam family: Bacterial small subunit ribosomal RNA
Source: RNAcentral
GUGUCAGCAGCCGCGGUAAUACGUAGGGACCAAGCGUUGUUCGGAUUUACUGGGCGUAAAGGGCGCGUAGGCGGCAAUUCAAGUCAGCUGUGAAAUCUCCGGGCUUAACUCGGAACGGUCAGCUGAUACUGCUUUGCUAGAGUGCAGAAGGGGCAAUCGGAAUUCUUGGUGUAGCGGUGAAAUGCGUAGAUAUCAAGAGGAACACCUGAGGUGAAGACGGGUUGCUGGGCUGACACUGACGCUGAGGCGCGAAAGCUAGGGUAGCAAACGGGAUUAGAUACCCCAGUAGUCC